Molecule: ribosomal RNA, 613 nt
Filed under: Gymnochanda filamentosa
Lineage: Eukaryota; Metazoa; Chordata; Actinopteri; Ambassidae
Description: partial large subunit ribosomal RNA
Rfam family: Bacterial large subunit ribosomal RNA
Source: RNAcentral
CUCGGCAAACACAAACCUCGCCUGUUUACCAAAAACAUCGCCUCUUGUAUCUCAACAAUAAGAGGUCCCGCCUGCCCUGUGACUUACAUGUUUAACGGCCGCGGUAUUUUAACCGUGCAAAGGUAGCGUAAUCACUUGUCUUUUAAAUGGAGACCCGUAUGAAUGGCACCACGAGGGUUUCACUGUCUCCUUUUUCCAGUCAAUGAAAUUGAUCUCCCCGUGCAGAAGCGGGGAUAAAAACAUAAGACGAGAAGACCCUGUGAAGCUUAAAGACGACAAGCAGCCCAGCCUAAGCACCUCAAAUAAAAGAACUAAAACACUGACCCCUGCCCUAAUGUCUUCGGUUGGGGCGACCACGGAGAAACAAAAAACCCCCACGUGGAACAGGAGCACUAUAUUUCCUUUCCUCUCCUACAACCUAGAGCCACCCCUCAAAGUAACAGAAUUUUUGACCAAACAUGACCCGGCCACGCCGAUCAACGAACCAAGUUACUCCAGGGAUAACAGCGCUAUCCCCUUUUAGAGCCCAUAUCGACAAGGGGGUUUACGACCUCGAUGUUGGAUCAGGACAUCCUAAUGGUGCAGCCGCUAUUAAGGGUUCGUUUGUUCAACG